This is a long non-coding RNA of Haemorhous mexicanus (house finch), 420 nucleotides long. RefSeq lists it as uncharacterized. The record is from RefSeq and is a predicted model, not a curated record. The transcript is spliced from 3 exons. Lineage: Eukaryota; Metazoa; Chordata; Aves; Passeriformes; Fringillidae.
GGGGUCACCAAGGUGGGACCUGGAAGUGGUGGGGUCACCAAGAGAGAUCUGCUGGAGGUUGGGGGUCACCAAAGUGGGACCUGGUGGAGAUGUGGGGUCACCAAGGUGGAACCCAGAAAAGAUUUGGGGUCACCAAGGUGGGGCCUGGAGGACCUGGAAGAGGUGGGGCACCAAGGUGGGACCUGCUGGAGGUUGGGGAGCACCAAGGUGGGACCUGGAGGGCCUGGUGGAAGUUGGGGGUUGCUCAGGUGGGACCUGGAGCAGAUGAUGGUGUCCUGAAGAAGACUGGGGGCACCAAGAUUGGUCCUGAAGAAGAUUGAGGGCACCAAGGUGUGACCUGGAGGAGAUCGGGCGGAACCAAGGUGGGAGCUGGAGGACCUGGAGGAGAUUUGGGGGCACCAAGGUGAAACCUGGAGGAGG